GGGUCUAAAACCUCUUAACUUACAUGUGAAACUGAUCAUAUUUUCAGGUAAGUUGUUUUUUAAGUUUUUAAAUGUUACAGUUAAAAUGUUGCCAAUCAGCAUGAAAUUCUUUUAAUGUGCCUGGAAGCUGAUACUGUAGAAACUAAAAUUUUAAAAUAUGUACUAGAUAAGAUUAAAUCUUUGGGGUAAAGACUAUUUCAAAAGAAUUUUCUAAUAAGGAAAAAUGAAAAGGCUCUUUAAAUUGAUUUUCAAGUUAAUUUUUAUUACUUAUACAAUUUUGAUUUUCAGUAUGCAUCUUUCAAAUACAGUCUUUUGGUAUAAACAAAGGUAGAAAUGUUAAGCUAAUAAGCAGGAGAACAUAGUCUAUUUUAGUAGAUGUGUGGAUAGUGUAAAUACUACUACUUUGAAAAAAAAUCAAAUGUGAAAAUCUACUUUCUUUUACAAACAUUUCUACAGGUCCUCUCUAAUUAUAAUAACGAGCCUAUUUGAUAUAUUUUUUAUCCAAAGUUUCAAUUCAUUAAUGUAUAUAUGUGUAUGCUUGAGCCCUAACAGUGUAGCCCUUUCCAAUAUGAGUGAUGAGGCCAAAACAUGAGAUAUAUUCAGAGAUAAAUGGACUAGAAUCAUGUAGUUUUAAAAUUCAAAAUACAAACAGUAUUUAAAUCAUCUCAAUAACAGAUAUUUCACACACAUGCAAUUAUAUUUUUAAACUGAAGAUGGAAAGAGGUGCCAAAUUAGUGUACUUCAAGAGAAUGCUUUUUAAUCAUGAUAGCACAGAACUGUUUCUACCUCUGUGAUUUCUACUAGUAGAAAAAUGUCUUACAACAACACAUGUGGUAUAUAUUUACAAAG
Molecule: long non-coding RNA, 849 nt
Filed under: Bos taurus (domestic cattle)
Lineage: Eukaryota; Metazoa; Chordata; Mammalia; Artiodactyla; Bovidae
Description: long non-coding RNA NONBTAT021774
Source: RNAcentral